UCCGUAGGCGGGCAAUUAAGUCAGAGGUGAAAGUUUGCGGCUCAACCGUAAAAUUGCCUUUGAAACUGGUUGUCCUGAAUUAUUGUGAAGAGGUUAGAAUAUGUAGUGUAGCGGUGAAAUGCAUAGAUAUUACAUAGAAUACCAAUUGCGAAGGCAGAUCACUAACAUUAUAUUGACGCUGAUGGACGAAAGCGUGGGGAGCGAACAGGAUUAGAUACCCUGGUAGUCC
RNAcentral lists this ribosomal RNA (229 nucleotides) under uncultured bacterium. RNAcentral's name for it is "partial 16S ribosomal RNA". It matches the Rfam family "Bacterial small subunit ribosomal RNA", at positions 568 to 796 of the family's 1533-position model. The record is from RNAcentral.